UGAGGAAUAUUGGACAAUGGGGGCAACCCUGAUCCAGCCAUGCCGCGUGAGUGAAGAAGGCCUUAGGGUUGUAAAGCUCUUUCAAUAGUGAAGAUAAUGACGGUAACUAUACAAGAAGCUCCGGCUAAAUUCGUG
RNAcentral lists this ribosomal RNA (135 nucleotides) under uncultured Bartonellaceae bacterium. Its description in RNAcentral is "partial 16S ribosomal RNA". It matches the Rfam family "Bacterial small subunit ribosomal RNA", at positions 355 to 507 of the family's 1533-position model. Lineage: Bacteria; Pseudomonadati; Pseudomonadota; Alphaproteobacteria; Hyphomicrobiales; Bartonellaceae. The record is from RNAcentral.